CGGCGCCACCAUCCCGGUCCCAAUGGACGACGCGGAGCCGCAGCCCGACCCGGAGCCGGCCGACAUAACUUAUUUCGGCCCCACCUCCCUCACGUACCUCCCCGUCCUCCAGUGGCUAGCUGAUAAUUUCUAUUUGUGUGGAGGAUGCACUGUACCCUGCCGGCUACUAUAUGAGCUGUAUAUUGAAACCUGCAAUGCCAGUUUCAAGAUUCAAGUACAUCCAUCCACCUUUGGAAAGCUUAUUCAGUUAGUUUUCCCAGGCUUGGUGACAAGAAGGCGGACCAC
This 285-nucleotide long non-coding RNA is filed under the name Chloebia gouldiae (Gouldian finch). Its description in RNAcentral is "Erythrura gouldiae (Gouldian finch) lncRNA (ENSEGOG00005008135.1)". Lineage: Eukaryota; Metazoa; Chordata; Aves; Passeriformes; Passeridae. The record is from RNAcentral.